GCGAAAACAGCGAGCCGCUUGAAAGGAUAUCCAAUAACAUUCGGAGUUGAGACCAUUCAAUCAACAUAUCACAGUGAGAGAAUCAUCUUCUAGCCAAGGGGCAGUACAAACUCCUGUUUAGGAAUAGCAUCCCCCUCUCAGGUUGCUAACAGUUCUGCACAGGGAAUGGAGCAUGGUUGGAGAUCUCUAAAGCUGGUACACAGUAUAUGACCAUCCUCAUCUCCUGGUCUUAGGAUGAACCUUUCACUGAUUAAUGGCCUACCUCUCGUACUACACUGUCAGAGUUGACUUUGAUUACUCC
This 301-nucleotide long non-coding RNA is filed under the name Elaeis guineensis (African oil palm). Its description in RNAcentral is "long non-coding RNA (EGUI_LNC020107)". The record is from RNAcentral. Lineage: Eukaryota; Viridiplantae; Streptophyta; Magnoliopsida; Arecales; Arecaceae.